Molecule: unclassified non-coding RNA, 240 nt
Filed under: soil metagenome
Description: partial contains 5.8S ribosomal RNA, internal transcribed spacer 2, and large subunit ribosomal RNA
Source: RNAcentral
AACGGUCUAUACCUGCGGUACCUGCGGAAGGAUCAUUAACAAAUUUGUUGAGUAUGUACAAUUGUGAACAGGCCAGAGUUUGUAUCUGAAGAAGCAUUUGUGUUGCUGAAUAUUUGUGUAGCAGAUAAGCAAUUAUUUGUGUAGCUAAAGAAGCAGAUGAGCAAUUAUUUGUCUAGCUAAAUAAGCAAUUAUUUGUGUAGCUAAAUAUUUGUCUAGCUGAAUAAGCAAAUUCACUACAAA